AUCCUGGCUCAGGACGAACGCGGCGGCGUGCCUAAUACAUGCAAGUCGAGCGCGGGAAGCAAGCUGAUCCUCUUCGGAGGUGACGCUUGUGGAACGAGCGGCGGACGGGUGAGUAACACGUGGGCAACCUGCCUGUAAGACUGGGAUAACCCCGGGAAACCGGGGCUAAUACCGGAUAAUACUUUUCAUCACCUGAUGGAAAGUUGAAAGGUGGCUUUUAGCUACCACUUACAGAUGGGCCCGCGGCGCAUUAGCUAGUUGGUGAGGUAACGGCUCACCAAGGCAACGAUGCGUAGCCGACCUGAGAGGGUGAUCGGCCACACUGGGACUGAGACACGGCCCAGACUCCUACGGGAGGCAGCAGUAGGGAAUCUUCCGCAAUGGACGAAAGUCUGACGGAGCAACGCCGCGUGAGUGAUGAAGGUUUUCGGAUCGUAAAGCUCUGUUGUUAGGGAAGAACAAGUGCCGUUCGAAUAGGGCGGCACCUUGACGGUACCAACCAGAAAGCCC
Molecule: ribosomal RNA, 510 nt
Filed under: Virgibacillus halodenitrificans
Lineage: Bacteria; Bacillati; Bacillota; Bacilli; Caryophanales; Bacillaceae
Description: bacterial SSU rRNA
Rfam family: Bacterial small subunit ribosomal RNA
Source: RNAcentral